UACGUAGGGAGCAAGCGUUGUCCGGAAUCAUUGGGCGUAAAGCGCGCGUAGGUGGCUUCGUAAGUCCGUUGUGAAAGUCAAAGGCUCAACCUUUGAAAGCCGAUGGAUACUGCGGAGCUAGAGUACGGAAGAGGCGAGUGGAAUUCCUGGUGUAGCGGUGGAAUGCGCAGAUAUCAGGAGGAACACCGGUGGCGAAGGCGGCUCACUGGACCGGAACUGACGCUGAGGCGCGAAAGCGUGGGGAGCAAACAGG
Molecule: ribosomal RNA, 253 nt
Filed under: uncultured bacterium
Lineage: Bacteria
Description: partial 16S ribosomal RNA
Rfam family: Bacterial small subunit ribosomal RNA
Source: RNAcentral